Molecule: transfer RNA, 73 nt
Filed under: Hydrogenoanaerobacterium saccharovorans
Lineage: Bacteria; Bacillati; Bacillota; Clostridia; Eubacteriales; Oscillospiraceae
Rfam family: tRNA
About the family: Transfer RNA (tRNA) molecules are approximately 80 nucleotides in length. Their secondary structure includes four short double-helical elements and three loops (D, anti-codon, and T loops). Further hydrogen bonds mediate the characteristic L-shaped molecular structure. tRNAs have two regions of fundamental functional importance: the anti-codon, which is responsible for specific mRNA codon recognition, and the 3' end, to which the tRNAs corresponding amino acid is attached (by aminoacyl-tRNA synthetases). tRNAs cope with the degeneracy of the genetic code in two manners: having more than one tRNA (with a specific anti-codon) for a particular amino acid; and 'wobble' base-pairing, i.e. permitting non-standard base-pairing at the 3rd anti-codon position.
Source: Rfam by way of RNAcentral
GCUAAUAUGGCUCAGUUGGUAGAGCAGCUCAUUCGUAAUGAGCAGGUCGUCGGUUCGAAUCCGACUAUUAGCU